Cebus imitator (Panamanian white-faced capuchin) is the source of this 107-nucleotide small nuclear RNA. The record is from RefSeq and is a predicted model, not a curated record. NCBI's taxonomy places the organism in Eukaryota, Metazoa, Chordata, Mammalia, Primates, Cebidae.
GUGCUCGCUUCAGCAGCACAAAUACUAAAAUUGGAACGACACAGAGAAGAUUAGCAUGGCCCCUGCGCAAGGAUGACACGCAAAUUUGAAAUUUUUUAAAAAAAUUA